AGCACACGCGCCACAAAUUGAAGGAAUAUUCUCUACAAGAUACCACUGAAAGAAACCCACAGCACAGAGCUGACUCCAAGGGCUGACACUUAGAGGGAGAGGAAGAGAAGAGAGCGAUAUAGAGAAGGAAGUGGGAGGGAUUAAUUAUGAAGGACGAGGUUAUAAGCUCUUCAGGGGACCCGCUACUGCCCCCCAGAUCUUCUUCUCCGCCUCCUAGCCUCACUCCUGCUGCCAGUUCUGUAGGGGCAUCAUCUCCUGCUGUUCCUACAAAUGCUGGCAGCACAGACUGGUUUGGUCAAGUACAGAACUCGAAAGGGGGUUCUCUUUCUCGCAUUGGGUCGCAGCCCAUAUGGACUUCAUUGAGCACUAGUGCUGGUGAUUCUGCUCUUGGAUCAUCUCAACCUUCGUGCAGACCAUGGGAAAGAGGUGAUUUACUGAGGCGUCUCUCAACUUUCGAACCUGCCAAUUGGUUUGGAAAGCCCAAGGCUGCUAGUGCACUGGCCUGUGCCAGAAGAGGGUGGGUGAGCGUGGAUGUUGACAAAAUUAAAUGUGAAUCUUGCGGUGCAAGUCUCAAGUUCAUUUCGUCAGCUACCUGGACUCCUUCUGAAGCUGAUAUUGCUGGGGAAGACUUCACCCAGAAACUAGAUGGCGGGCAUAAAGUUAACUGUCCGUGGGUGGGAAACAUCUGUGCAGAAAGCUUGGUACAGUUCCCUCCUACUCCACCAUCAGCAUUGAUUGGUGGUUAUAAGGAUCGUUGUGAUGGACUACUGCAGUUCCCAUCCCUGCCCAUUGUAGCUGCAUCUGCAUCUGAGCAAAUGCGAAUUUCUCGGGGUCCAGAAAUUGACCGGCUUUUAGCUCAGUCUCAGUUAGAGGGCAAUGAAUUGGGCUUUAAGCUGGAGAUUAUAUCGGGGCCUGAAAAUGCCAGAGAUGAUAUCUUCUUCAUAUACUCUCGUGCUCAAAAGCUGAUAAGCCUGUGUGGAUGGGAACCAAGAUGGCUUCCAAAUAUUCAGGACUGUGAAGAGAAUUCAGCUCAAUCGGCCAGAAAUGGAUGUUCAACUGGUCCUUCAAAAAAUCGUGGUCACCGUGGCAAGAAGAAAUUGUUUGCUUCCCCAAAAAAAGAUUAUGGCAUAAAUGAAGUUAUGGCUCCCAAGUCAAAAUUCGUGUCCAGGUCACCUUUAUUGGAUUGCAGCUUAUGUGGAGCCACAGUGAGAAUCUGGGACUUUCUCACUGUUGUACGUCCUGCUUCUUUUGCCUCCAAUAGCAGUGAUGUUCCUGAAACUAGCAAGAAGAUGGCAUUAACACGUGGAGUAAGUGCGGCAAGUGGCAUCAGUGGAUGGGUUGCUGUGGAUGGGAUGGAGAAGGAGCAGGGAGAGGACCAUGAUGAAGCUGCAACAGACGAAGGGAAGUCAUUGUCAAACAUGGGGGUGGAUUUAACUCUUACAAUAUCUGGUGGGUUAUCCUGUUCUCGGUUGCAGAUGAAUGUCAUGCCUGAACAAUACCAAGAUGCACCUGGAGGAAGAAAUUUAGUGGUUAGACGGCCUUCCAGCAGCGAGGUUGGUGAUCGUGCAGUCUCAUAUGAAUCAUGUGGUCCUAGUUCUCGCAAGCGGAACUUAGAUGAAGGUGGAAGUACAGUUGAUAGGCCACCACUAUUGAUGCAACAUGUUGACAGUAUUGAAGGCACUGUCAUUGACCGUGAUGGUGAUGAAGUCGAUGAUGUUAAACAGCAUGUUGGUGGCCCUUCAAAACGUGCCCGUGACUCUGAUAUUGUUGACCAUCGUUCCUCGUAUAGGAAAGAUUCUUCUGUUGCUGGUCCUAGCCAGCCAUUGGGAAUGGAUAUAGGAACAGGGGCUCUGAGAGAUCUUUCUAAUCAGGGUCCUGAGCUAGCAUUUGGUUAUCCAUCAACUAGAGAUUCUACACACGCUUCCUCCAUCAUUGCGAUGGACACUGUAUGUCACAGUCCAGAUGAUGAUUCAAUGGAAAGUGUUGAAAAUUAUCCUGGAGAUUUUGAUGAUGUUCAUUUUCCAUCUACGUCAACCUUCAGAAAUACAGAUGUCAAUGAGACAUCUGAAUUGAACUACAGUAACCAAGCACAACAAAGUACUUGCCCAGCUGUAAGAAGUGUUGGUGAAAUGGGUGUUAGUAGUACAAAUGAUGAAGAAGUGCUAAACGCAGAUACUGCAACUGGGCAUGGGAGAAAUGGUCCUAGCUUUGGAAUUAGUGGAGGAAGCGUUGGAAUGGGUGCUAGCCAUGAAGCUGAAAUUCAUGGCAUUGAUGUGUUGAUCAACAGAGCUGAUAGUGUCGUUGGUGAUGUCGAGCCAAUUGCUGAAAUCACUGAUAUCCAAGGUCAGACUAGUGAAUUUGCUCCAGAUCCAGGGCUAAUGGGUGAUUUUGUCCCGGAAGAAAUGGACCAAGAGGAUCGUGCUGGUGAUAGUCAAGAUUUUUUGUCUCGGUCUAUGGGAAGGGCUGAUAGGGGCUCAAAAAUUUUGGGUUUUGCCAAGGAAGGAUCUGUUGAAAGUGGUGAGAAGACCAGUAACAUACGUGCAGCACCCCAUGGGAACAGUCCAAAUUAUUCUCUUUCUUGCAAUGCCAUAUUAUAUUCUGGCUGUGAUGCGUCCAAGGAAGAAGUUACACAGGCUGGCAAAGAUUUGACAACUGAUGACUGUAACUCAGGCUAUAUGUUUGCAAAAGGGACAGGGCCACCAAAUGAUGGAUGCAACUAUGAGGAAUUUGUUGAAUUCGAUCCAAUCAAGCAUCAUAAUCACUUCUGUCCAUGGGUGAAUGGAAAUGUUGCCGCAGCUGGUUGCAAUAGCAGUAGCGGAUCUGGUUCCAGUGCUGGUGCUCAGGCACUAUGCGGUUGGCAGCUGACACUAGAUGCUUUGGACGCUUUCCAAUCGCUAGCACAAGUUCCAAUUGAAACCAGGGAAUCUGAAUCAGCUGCAUCCAUGCACAAGGAUGAGCAUCUGACUCCUGGUCGAAAACUCUUGGCACGCGACUCACUCAGCUAAAAUGCAAGAGCAUUGAUCACGGCGAAUCUAAUUUUCCAUGAUUCUUCAUAGGAUGAACAUCUUGGUUAAGUUGAGGAUGCUGCCUGCAGCAGUCAUCACAGAUCAAGGUCAAGUCUAAGUAAAUCGAUUGUCGAGAAGUUGUUCGUUACUCUUGUGGGCCAUCUUUAUUUGAAGUCAAAAUUCCAUCAACUGUAAUGUUUAUCGAGGUACAAGUGAUCAUUAGUUUCCUUAAUUCAUAAUAAUAGUAGUAUAAUGGUACUUCUGUAGUGGUAUUGCAAAACCUUAAAUCCCUUUUGUUUUCGAGAUACCUUUGCACACUUAUUUCUCAGACAAAUGACUCCAGCAAAAUUUUGAUUCUUGUGUUUUGUCACAUA
Molecule: RNA transcript, 3379 nt
Organism: Olea europaea var. sylvestris
Lineage: Eukaryota; Viridiplantae; Streptophyta; Magnoliopsida; Lamiales; Oleaceae
Exons: 9
Source: RefSeq, a predicted model, not a curated record